AGUGAACGCUGGCGGUAGGCCUAACACAUGCAAGUCGAACGGCAGCACAGUAAGAGCUUGCUCUUACGGGUGGCGAGUGGCGGACGGGUGAGGAAUACAUCGGAAUCUACUUUUUCGUGGGGGAUAACGUAGGGAAACUUACGCUAAUACCGCAUACGACCUACGGGUGAAAGCAGGGGAUCUUCGGACCUUGCGCGAUUGAAUGAGCCGAUGUCGGAUUAGCUAGUUGGCGGGGUAAAGGCCCACCAAGGCGACGAUCCGUAGCUGGUCUGAGAGGAUGAUCAGCCACACUGGAACUGAGACACGGUCCAGACCCCUACGGGAGGCAGCAGUGGGGAAUAUUGGACAAUGGGCGCAAGCCUGAUCCAGCCAUACUGCGUGGGUGAAGAAGGCCUUCGGGUUGUAAAGCCCUUUUGUUGGGAAAGAAAAGCAGCAGGUUAAUACCCCGCUGUUCUGACGGUACCCAAAGAAUAAGCACCGGCUAACUUCGUG
This 492-nucleotide ribosomal RNA is filed under the name uncultured bacterium. RNAcentral's name for it is "partial 16S ribosomal RNA". It matches the Rfam family "Bacterial small subunit ribosomal RNA", at positions 29 to 507 of the family's 1533-position model. The record is from RNAcentral.